AGAAGAGGAGUCACCCAGUUACUGUU
Molecule: non-coding RNA, 26 nt
Filed under: Rattus norvegicus (Norway rat)
Lineage: Eukaryota; Metazoa; Chordata; Mammalia; Rodentia; Muridae
Source: RNAcentral